RNAcentral lists this ribosomal RNA (305 nucleotides) under uncultured bacterium. RNAcentral's name for it is "bacterial SSU rRNA". It matches the Rfam family "Bacterial small subunit ribosomal RNA", at positions 332 to 630 of the family's 1533-position model. The record is from RNAcentral.
UUGACCCUAUGGGAGGCAGCAGUGGGGAAUAUUGCGCAAUGGGCGAAAGCCUGACGCAGCGACGCCGCGUGAGGGAUGAAGGUCUUCGGAUCGUAAACCUCUGUCAGCAGGGAAGAACGGUCACUGUGCUAAUCAGCAGUGAAUUGACGGUACCUGCAAGGGAAGCACCGGCUAACUCCGUGCCAGCAGCCGCGGUAAUACGGCGGGUGCGAGCGUUAAUCGGAAUUACUGGGCGUAAAGCGCUCGUAGGCGGUAUGUCACGUCAAGGGUGACAUCCCCGCGCUCAACGUGGGAACUGCCUUCGA